AUGGCCCCGCGGACCCGACGGGGUUCGGCUCCCCCUCUGCGCUGUGGGAGAGGCGACAUAACCGCCCAAUCACCCGGCUGAAAGGCAGCGCCACUUCCACUGUGUCCCGGGGCAUCACCCGCCUCACCGGGAGAGGUCGCCUGAGGCGACGGCGCGCAUAGGCGCUACUGCCCAUGCGUCUCAGAGAGCGUUUCCUCCAGCGUCCUGGGCCCGUUCGUGCGCCCUUGCUCGUCGCCUCAUGUCCCGCCCAGGGCCCCGCCGUGCCACGGUGUCCUCAGGACUAGGGAGCUUCUCCCCUACUCCUUGGGCCCCCCAUGACCCGUGGGACACCCAUUUCCUAUGGGCUGUGUAUAUAUGUGCCAGAGGUGCAGCAAGUCACAUCCCACCCUGUCGGAGAUUCUUCCCAGGCAAAUGGAGAUGUUCUCUCCCAAAUCCCAGACCAGCCACAUCCCCUGCUGCCGGUGGAUCCUCCCUUUCCCGGGCAAACACCAUCCAGAUCGUGAGGGUCUAGGAGCACAAUGACUCCUGUCUGGGAUGAGGCUCAUAGCAGACCAUCAAACAUGGAGGUCACAUAAGCAGUGUCUCCCAUCCACUUCACUGAACAACAAAUGAUUGCACAACACACAGAGUACACAACUCUUGACUCCUUGAUCUGUUAUUUUUCUCUUUUUUCUACUCUGUUUUAAUUGCUGGUGAUCACUACCAAACUUUUCUCCUGGCUCAGUGGAUGUGAUUCAUCUUGGCUGCUGUCAAGAUGGAAUGGGAAGGUUCUGCACUACUGUCUGCCACCUUGAUGUGACAUGGGCUGCUCAUGAAAUCAUGUGUUGCUGGCAUUGUUGGGUCAUGUAUCCUUAAGAAUUGCAACACUCUAAACCUGACAAACAGGCACUUCAUCUAUCUGUACAAGCUCAUUCUCCUUUCUCUUUCUUUAUGGAAAAUUGGCAGACUCCCAACCUGUUUCCAUAGGAACGGGCUGGGAGACCGGGAAACCUCCAGCUGGUGAAGUCCCAGCAUUAACACAACCAUGGCAUCUGCUUGGCAAUGAGAGAAGUUCCUGCAGCUUCUGGAGAUUGAAGUCACAGCAAAACGAGUCAAUUUGUGGUCAAGAUAAGGAGCUGAUAACCAGCUUACCUGAGGCUGCCUGGCUGAUUAUGGUGGAGGGUGGAGAAAGCUCCAUUACUUGCUCUUGGAUGCUGGGCCUCAUCCUGCUCACCUGCUUCUUUGGGGGCUGCAUCAAAUCUCCCACUUUCCCCAGGCUGAGCAGAGGCUUCCCCGCAGGAUGGCAGCAUUCACUAAACCUCCCGUGUCAGCUGGAGAUGCCUCAGGUGUUUUGAUUUGCUUCUUAUGAAAUGAAAAGAGAGGAGAUAAAUUGUGGCACAGCUCCCCCACCUGACUUUCUGCUUGGAUGCCAGUUCUUAGCUCAGACUAUUGUUCUGGAGGGUUUCAUUUUAAACUCCUUUAUUAGACACUCUAAAAUAUCACUUCUUGCUCUUGCAGACAGCCUGUUCCUACACGAGAGAUUUGUACUUCUUAGUCAGCUGAUGGUGGUUUCUAAGGGAAGACAGCCCUGGGGGUGGUGGUUUAUUACCUGGCGUGCUGAUGUUUGAUUCCCUCUGCCUCAGGGCCAAGCUGUGCUCUCACUCUCCUGGUAAGAGGUGCAGUUAGGGUUUGGCCUCCUUGCAGAAGCACCCAUCAAACACUCCAGGCUCAUCAUAUGUGAAGUGAGGAACUGGGCUGAGCUGGUUCCCGUGUCCUUCCAAGUGUUGCACUUUCUCCAGUCUGACUGCAGAUGUACGGCUGGGAACUGACAUAGAAAAUCUUUCUAACUCCCGACCAUCAAUUCCCCUAGAAGGGAAAAAAUGCUUUAUUUUCUGCCAAUGGAUUUUUAUGGUAGCUAUAAACAUGGAGCAGGUAAUGCAUGGGGGAUGCUGUCCCAUUCUGAGCCUGCAGCCUUGGUAUGGGCGCCAGAGCUGCUUCCCAGAAAGGGACUUCUCCUUCUGCUUUGCUCUCUAUUGCUCCCAGCAGACAGGUUCCCAGCUGAGGAAGCAGCAGAGCUAUCUAGGGAAUUGCACAAACUUUUGCUCAGCGAAGGAGUGAACCUGAGCUUUGGUACAGCCCCAGCAGCUGCCAUAUCUGUGGUCUCAAGACAUCAAGCAGGGAUUACUCAUCCUGAGAGCUCUCAGUGAGGAUCAGAGGGGAAGGGAGACUCCUAACACCUCUGUCUAUGUGAUACUCAUGCUCCUCAGGCAUCAGUGUACUCCAGGAAUGGACAGUAUGGUGCCAUGGCUCAAAGCUGCAGUGGAGCCCAGCAAUGAAAGACACAUCUGCAGCAGAAGGAGGCAGCACACUGACUCCCACGGCAGCUGCAGUGGUGGGAAGCAGCAUGGUUUUAUUCUGUCUGGUACAAAAAGUAUCCUUGAAAAAAGGCAGAAGGCAGACUGUGGCUCAGCCACCUUAUAGCUGAACAUGCUAUGUAAGCACGGCCUUCACUUUGAAUUUUUGGAUGCUCAGGGGUUCUUUUCAUGUGGUUUUAGAGUCAUCAGAGCAUAUGUGGCCAAAUCUCCCCUGGAGUGGGCUCCUUGGGCUCCUCCCUCCCAGUGUCAUGAUGGCCAGGGGCUCCUUCAGCUUGGAAAGGAGCUGUGGGAAGACUGGCUGCUCAAAUCAUGCUUCAGAUGUUGGUCUCUCUUUGGCAUGGCUCCAGACUUGUCUCCCUUACAAGGUGUUGACUUAGGUGGUGGCCAAAGCAUUGCUGCAGGAGGUCAGAUAGGGACCCUACAAAGACUGUGAGCCACUCAGCUUGUUCUUGGAGGGGGACUAGUGAGGUUCCUUUCCACUGCUCUUAGCACAUCUAACUGGUUUCCAGAGAGUCAACCAGCUGAAUUAAUGAAUCGUUCCUAAAGCCAGAAUUCAAAGAUCUUCCUGGUACACGUCAGUUGACAUGGCAUUAAUACUCCCUUCUGUGACCUUUACAUCACCAUCCAGGCCCAGGCUCCCCUUUUUGCCCUUUCAUAUUUAAUAUUAAAUCUGAUUUAUCUGUAAGAGGGCUUUAUCAUGUGCUCAGACAAAUCAAAAGGAUUUCACAAUCCAUCCCUGAGGCAGAGCCAUGGGUGAUAAAAGCAUUGACCUGAGGAUAAAAUCAUCACAUGCACCCUGGACAGAGGUCUCCACCACUACUCCCUUGCCACUUAUCACCACUCCAGUGCCUGAUUUUUACCUGUGUUGCUUGAGGUACCUGCUGACCCCACCUUUUUCUUGAAGCUUAGUGCUCAACAAACUCCAGCAGCUGCCCAAGGCAGCAGCCACUGCUCUCUGCUCCUCUUGAUUUAUGUGCUAUUGAGCACAGAUAGAUUCUAAUGGGCCAUCUCACAGGGAAAAGCCUGGCACAGCUGCAUCUCUGAAGGACUUCCUUGCAUGUAGGGCUCCUUUGUGCCUCCCAUGAGAUCCCAUUACACUCUUUCACUACUUUUUCUUUAAUUGCUGCAGAUCAUUUUUUUUCAUGCAGCACAAACUGACUGCUGACAGAGUCAGUGCCAUGUGCUGAUGGAGACACAGGAGGGUUGGCUGGAGGGAGCAAUGGAUGGCAGAGGAGAUGCCGGUUGCAGAUCACAGGGACAUGUACAGCCCUGUAAUUGGCUGGCUUGCACAGAUUUCCUCCCAAACAGCAUUUUUUAAUCUAAAGGAAAGCAAGGAACUGGAACAUGUCUUGCUUCAUUCAUGGCUUCCCUGGAAGCAGCAGCAGCAUGUUAUGGAAAAAGAGAAGGAGGAGGAAAAAAUAGUCAGAAGCACCAGGUGGCUGAAUAUCUUGCAGCCUAAUUGAUUCCUCUUUAAUUAGAACAAAACCUGUUGCACUUAGCCAGCAUUCAUUGCCAGUUUUAGAGAAAGCAGCAUCUUCCCUGGCCCUAUACCAGCACAGCUUGGCAUGGAGGGAGGAGAAGAAACUCAGGAAACCAUGCAAAGCUGACAGUGCCUCUACCACACCUGGGAAUCGUGGCAAACUCGAGCUCCUACAACUUUCUUCAAGGCAGCAAGAGCAAGAUGAAGGAGAGCCAACCAUGUCAGUGUCUGUUGCACACUAAGCUGCAGCAAGAGACUUGUCUGGUAUUAACUGGGGUAACUGAGACUUCACAGGGAUUUCUGUGCUUGUGCCUGACCUCACUUGGGAGCUGCUCACUGCUUCUCUCACAAAUCCCAUUAUUUUUAAAAUGAGAAAG
Long non-coding RNA from Parus major (Great Tit), 4211 nucleotides. RefSeq lists it as uncharacterized. Lineage: Eukaryota; Metazoa; Chordata; Aves; Passeriformes; Paridae. The record is from RefSeq and is a predicted model, not a curated record. The transcript is spliced from 3 exons.